AUGAAGAGAGAGUUAUACCAUUUUUGGUAUUAUAUAAUGAAUUUAUUUUACAUGCUAUAUGAGAUAUUAUGUGCCUGCUGUGAAUCUAGCACUAAGCAAGGCUUUAAGGAUAAAAGUAUUGAAAAAAUUAAAACUUCUGUUUCCUUUCCUGUAUUGGGAAAAAUAAGCAAGUGUGCAGUGGGACAACAUGGGCCAUCCUGUGCAGGGGAAGAACAGAAGCACAGACUUCAGGGCAGCAGCAGUGGGAGAAGCCUACAAGGGAAGGGGUCCAAUCUGAAGAUUCCGAGAUGGGGAAAUUACUUCAUCUCACUUUGCAAAAUGACAGGGGAUGUCUUAUGAAAAUCUAUUUACAGUAUACAUUCUCAGCCCCAUCACCGUGAAGCAGCAGCACACCUCCUCUGGAGGAUUUCACACCUUGGUAAUUCAUUAUAUCACAGGUUCCUCUUGGUGUGAAAUUCCUCUGAUUAAGAAGAGCUGACAGAGGCAGGAGAAUGAAGUAAUUCUCUUUUCCUCCCCUCUAAACAAGUCAUACUUGAUAUUUCUUCAAGGUCAAAUUGAAUUGAAAAUAGGCAAGGGUGAUAUCUUCUUAGAUUUGUACUAAUAACUGGGUGUUCUCAGCAGAAGCCUUUUGGCAGAACAGCAAAGUUAACUUAUCAAGGUGCUUAAGAAUGCAAAAUUGCCUGCCAGACAUGAGAUCUAAAAGUUUCAGGGCCCAUCAUACAUAGAUUUCUUAGGCUUUUCUGCUCAUAAGAAUGAGCCUGAUGCUAGAAUAGUAAUUCCUCUAUAAGCAUUAUUUCAGAUGCAGAGUUAAAAUGUUCUUCCCAUGGUUUUAUUUGUAAUUUUAAUUUUAGGCAUUGCCUUCCAACUGGCUUCAGAAUAUAUCAGAAAAACUAUGACAUAGGCCAAUGCUCUUAAUCUUUUUGGUAAUUAUCUGAGUGACAUCUUGGAAUUUAUAUUCAAAAGACCAAGCGACUCCUCCAUUAACUUUCCUCGACUAAACCUUCAAUCAUUCUAGUUGGCUGUUGUGACCUCUUUCUCACAGCCUUAAAGACUUGGAAAAUGGGUUUUGGUUGUCUGUAGAUGCAAGAGAAUACAUAUGGACUCACUUUAAUUCAUAGAUAUCAAAGAGAUGCUUAUAUUUCCAGAACAGGUAGUGAUAAUCAAAGAGCAUCAUUAAGCAUUUGAUUUAAGCCCAACUAUAUCCACCCUUUCUUAGAGAUUUGUGGUCUUGGAUGUGUUUAUUAACCUUUCCAAGCCUUAACUUCCUAACCAGGACAAUAGGGGAAGAGUAGUUUUUACUUCAUGAGAUACUUGUGAAGAUUAAUUGAGAUGAGAUGUGGACAGCAUAUAAACCAGUGGUUGGCACCUAGUGAGCCAUAAAUAGGAGGCAGUUAUUUUUUAAUUUCUUCACAUGUCAGAGAGAAAAAUGAUAAGAGGCUCUCGAGCUUUAAAAGAAGUAUUUAAAGAUUUUUUUUUCUGUCUUUAUAGUACCAGGCUGUUUUGUAAUUUGGAAUCAACUGCCUUUUAUAAUAAAUUCAGCAACAAACCCUAUGAAUGCA
Long non-coding RNA from Oryctolagus cuniculus (rabbit), 1559 nucleotides. The record is from Ensembl. NCBI's taxonomy places the organism in Eukaryota, Metazoa, Chordata, Mammalia, Lagomorpha, Leporidae.